Molecule: RNA transcript, 1831 nt
Organism: Bombus huntii
Lineage: Eukaryota; Metazoa; Arthropoda; Insecta; Hymenoptera; Apidae
Gene name: venom serine protease Bi-VSP-like
Exons: 4
Source: RefSeq, a predicted model, not a curated record
CUCGCAGUAAAAGAAUGUGGCGUGAUCCGAACGUAGUGGGGGUCGCCUUCCAGAAAAAACGAAAAAAAUCGAAAGGCGUUCAGAACUUUUCGAGAAGUCGAACCGUCAACACAUGUGAAUGUACCACACCGGACAAUCAAGAAGGCAGGUGCCUUGACUACAGAAAAUGUAAACCUCUGCAAGAAAUAUGGCAGAUACAGUACCGUACAGCCACCGAUUUUUAUAGACGAUCAGUGUGCAGAUACCAGGUCAAUGUUACGAUCGUUUGCUGUCCGAACGAUCCAAACAAAGAGAAGAGAGAAAUUUUAAUAAAAACUGUGUAUAAGUAUAAGGCUUUGCGACCACCAUACUGUGGUUUUAGCAACGUCUCUCAUACCAGGGUGGUCGAUGGUAAACCAGCUGAACUUGGCGCUUGGCCAUGGAUCGCUGCAUUAGGUUUUCGUAAUCCCCGAAACCCAGACAAACCACUAUGGAAGUGCGGAGGUUCCCUGAUAUCGGCUAGGCAUGUUUUGACCGCAGCACAUUGUGCACAUAUGGAUGGAAUAGAAAACAUACACAAUCAUAAUAUUGCCAUUCUUAGAUAGGUGGAGGAGGUGCCAUUUUCGAGUAAGUCCUCAAAUAUAUAUAUAUAUAUGCUAUUGAGUAUUACUGAAGUAUCAUAUCCUGAAAUUUCUUACUGUACACAUAUAUUGUGUCAUAAAGCGUGUACAAUUCUUUCUCAUACUUUUGGUCAUUCGUUUCCUGCAUUUUCAUUUAUUUUUUUAUUUUUCAGGGUACGUAUAUCCCAUUUGUACGAAAGAGCAACUUCGUCGGCUAUAACCCCCUUGUUGCUGGAUGGGGAGCGUUAAGAUAUAGCAAGUGAUAUCAAUUUUAUAAUAAAAUUAAACAGUUCCAGUCUUAAAUAUCUUUCUCAUUUUCUUCGUAGGACGACCACGACCUAAUGCAUUAAUGGAAGUACAAAUGCCAGUGAUUAAGAACGCCGAAUGCAAAAUAGCUUAUUCCAAAUUUCCUAAUGCACCUGAUAUCACUGAUGGUAUAAUAUGCGCCGAACAUGCUCAGGGUGGAGAGGAUUCUUGUACGUAUCUUUGAUUAAAAAUUUAACGAUCCUUUCAGGCUGACCGUGGCGGACCACUGCUGAUACAACAUGAAUUAACCUCGUAUUUAAUAGGUAUUGUGUCUUAUGCUUAUAAGUGUGGCACAGCUGGGUAUCCCAGCGUUUACACUAGGGUCACAUCGUACCUUGACUUCAUUCUCCAAGCGAUGCAAUAAUAUGAUAUUACUGUUCCAUAAAUAUCAUUGUGUAAAAAACGUAAAGUUGGAUUUUCUUAUUGUGGAGAUAAGAAACAGCUCAAAUUUACAUUGUUUUGUACGUUACAAAUUAUAGGCUUAAAAUGUACGAAAUGUAACUUUGAAACGACACUAAUUUUUUACGCACGAUAAACCUCCACGACUUAGGUAUGUAAAGAUGAUAAACGUAUAUUAAUUCUAUUAAUUUGGUAAUAAUAAACCAACUUUCUGAGAAGUUCUGUAAAUUUCGUUUCUGUUGUAUCAAGAGAAUAAUGGAAUAUUCCACUUAGAUCGUAUACUUCUUGUAUGUACGUACAAAAUUUUCCGGCUAAUCUAAAACACUUCAUAAGAUAGAGAGCUUCUGGAAAUUCGGACACAGAGAGUGCAUAAAAUACAAGAUAAGUCUCGUGUCUUUCAAAAUUAUUUUUUAUUCGCUAAAAACGUCCUGUGUACUCAUGCAAUCACAUGCAACCUCGAAACUUCACUUAUUUUUUAUCACUUUCCAAUUCAAUACACAGUUUCUGCAUUUUUGACUAUAUGUAAG